This 7416-nucleotide long non-coding RNA is filed under the name Daucus carota (carrot). RNAcentral describes it as "long non-coding RNA (DCAR_LNC005748)". Lineage: Eukaryota; Viridiplantae; Streptophyta; Magnoliopsida; Apiales; Apiaceae. The record is from RNAcentral.
CUAUGUAAUUAGUGGCAAUAUAGUAGAGGGCAUAGGCCAUGAGGAGAUCUUGAAUGAGGUAUCGAAAAGAAGUGACAAGUGACUUUUCAAAGCAAUGAGCAGGAAUGGCUUUCUUAAGGUCACCAAUGGUGAAUGGAGGUUUCUCAUGAGGGGCACGUCGAAGUGCUUCUGUUUGAGUUUUCUUGGCAUUAGGAGCAGACAUGCGUCCACCUGCACCCAUCUUUCCCUGGUGAAGAAUGCAAAUAUUGCUACUCUUCAACCUUGUUGCCUUUGUUAUGUGUUUAGUUGUUUCGUUGUUGUUAUUACCUCAGACCAGCUUGGAUAUUUAUAAGGAUGUCGAAAUUAGAAAUGAGUUAAAGUCCUUAAGGCCCGCCAGCCAGGGGAGGAGUUUGAACUUUGAAUAGAAAGAGUAGGAAAUUAAGUGGCGUGCUCGUGUACAAUUAUUAGUGUCACUACUGAAAUGUGCAGUCAUAAAAUGAGUGCUGCACCAAAAUUUUCUCUUAAAUUCCAGGUCCUGCUUGGCGGCUAUACUAUCUUCAUCAACUUAUUGUUGUCUUGUUAUGCUCUUUUAACAUGCAUAUCUUUUGAUAUCUUCUUUCUCAUAUUAUGCAUUUGCUAAGCUUACUCUAAUACCAAAUAAAGUAGCUGACAUGAUGAAAAAGCAAAUUAACACACCUAAUUUAUGUCUCAUCCGAAAACAGGCUCUUUGGGGGAAUUAUUCUUUAUCUAAUAAAUGAGGUAAAAUGAUUAAUAUUCGAUAAAAUGAGUAGUGAAUGAAAUAUUCCUGUUCCAUCUUUACAAUCAAUCAUCUUCAGUUCCUCAAGUUUACGCUUAAGUGGAAGUUAUUUCUAUUUACUUCCUCCGGAUUUACAGUUAGUCCCAAGAAAAGUGUGGCAGCUGGGCAUUAGUUCUAGCAUGCAGGUUCCAGGUUACGAGAUCAUUUAUCAUCAAAUUGCAGAGGCAUACUUAGCCAAGUUAAAUUAAUGUUGGAAACUGGGAUCAGAACUUUAAUUUAAGCUGCUUGAUGUUCCUUUUUCAGUUCACUCACUACUAGGGAUGGCAACGGGUCGGGUUUCAUGAGAUCUAGACCCGAUCCAUUAUAUUUCGGUUCGGGUCCGGGUCUGAAAAAUGAAGAUCCAGAUCCGAUCCGUCGGAUUUUUUCGGGUUUCGGUUCGGGUUCGGGUCUAAUUCGGAUAUUUAAAAAAAAUUAAAAAUUAUAUAUCUAUAAAAAAUGUGAUGGCUUAUUUUAAAAAAAAAUUAGGAAUAUAAAAAAGGACUUUACAUGUUUCAUUUAGUACAAUAAACACGUGAAACAUGCUAACUUAAUUAUAUACAAUCAUUCAACUUAUCAUUUAUAUUUUAUUAUAUUUAGAUUUUUUAAUGCACAAUAAUUGAGAAAAUUAAAAUAUUGAUGAAAUUAAUAUAUAAAUUAUGUAUUGCGCAUAUAAUAUUAAGUAAGAUGUUAAUACGCAUACAUAAUAAUUCAUAAUAUUUCAUAUAUAUACUUUACAUUUAACAAAUAAUAUAUAUAUAUAUAUAUAUAUAUAUAUAUAUAUAUAUAUAUAUAUAUAUUAUAUUUGUAUGUGGUUUUUAUUAAGAUCCAGAUCCAGAUCCAAACUUUUUCGGGUCUAAAAAUAAGAUCCAAAUCCGGAUCCAGAUCCACAAAAAUCGGGUUCGGAUAGAUCCAAUCGGGUCGGAACGGGUCGGGUAUCCAUCGGGUCGGGUAAAACUGCCAUCCCUACUCACUACUAUUGAAGUGAUAGUUUAUACUCCCUCCGUCUCAAUUUAUAAGUCCAGUUUGGAAAAAAAAAUUGUCCCAAAAUACUUGUCCCUCUCUUCUUUCAAUACAAAUUUAUCUACAUAUUAAUUGUGAUUUUUUUUGAAACUCAACAAUAUUCUCACUUAUCAAUGCACUAAUUAAUGAUACAUGAGAUAAGAUUCUAUCUAACUAACUUUUUUCUUAAUAUGUGUGUUUAUUCCAAAAUCGACUUAUAAAUUGAGACGGAGGGAGUAUUGAACUUCAUUUCAUGACAUUUUAUAACACUGGAAGUUGCUUCAUCACUUGUAUUGUGUACAAAUAAAAACACACAAAGCACUCAUAUUAAUCUGAGCUUAUACUGUGAUUAAUUUUGCAUUCAUCUUACUGAAUACAAUCUUAGUUUCAAUUUGCCAAAAGCCUCGAGGAACACAUCAAAUGGCUCAAUUCAGACCAAGUAUGCUAUGAAGAUUAAGACGACGCUGUCUGUAAAUAUUGUGCAACCAUGUAAACAUUCUGCCAGGACUGUUUCAAAUUGUUGUGUUUGCAAUAUAUGGGUAAAUCUGGGUAACUCAUAACUGUAAUGUCCAAGAUUUAAAUUACGACCUCUCCUAUUGCUACGUACAAUUAAAUAUGAGUUUCUGACUCAUAAACUGAAACAAGCUGCAAAACAGAAUUAUUUCCCAGUUACUUAAGCUUCUUCUUCUUCUACUUUAGUAGCAUAAAAAUCAAAUUGUUUGAUAUUACAAAAAUUCUGAAAAUUCUGUGUAUUGCAUUGAAAAUUUGUUUUCAACUACUUACCUUAUUGUACAACAUCACAUUAAACAAUCUAAAGUUACUAGGAUUCUAGGAAUAAAAGAAGACAAUGCAGAAAUAAGUGAAAGAAUUAAAUCGAGGUAGUCUCUAACACAUUGAGCUAAAUAUCCUUUCUGUACCAGUAGACUCCUUUGGUCUCGCCUUCAUCCUUCUCCACGUAAAUGCAUUCCUUCAUUUCUCUGUACAUGGCCUUAAGUAUUGGAGUUCCAUCAUACUGAUAAUAAUCGCCCAACACUGGCUUCAUGGCCUCUGUUGCUUCAAGUCCGUGGUAAUGUGGGAUCAUGGAGAAUAUGUGGUGACAGACAUGAGCAUUGCACACAUUGUGGAAUACCUUGUUCAAAAUUCCAUAAUCUCUGUCCACAGUGCAGAGAGCUCCCCUCAACCAAUCCCAUUCGGUUGAAUCGUAGUAAGGCACUGAGGGAUGAGUAUGGUUAAGGAUGGUGAUCAAUGUGAACCAUCCAUUGACAACAAGCAAUGGACCUCCAUAGACACAGAAAACCCAGACAAAUCCUUUGGCUAAUACUAGAUUGUACAGCCCAUAGAUAACAGCAAGAAUGGCAAGAUCAGACACAAUGAUCUGCUUGCGCUCACGUUCUGUGUAAAGAGGGCUGUGGGGAUCAUAAUGUGAAGUCCACCUCUCAUACUUGUGUCCAGAAACAUUGAACAUCAAAUAUAGAGGGAAACCUAUGAGAAGUGUGGUAACCCAGACAAGGACACGACCGGGUGGGUUGUUGAGAAUUUUGUAGUAGUUCCUGAUGUUGGACUUGAAUCUGGGAACGUAAACUUCAUCAUUCUCAAGCGACUGAGUGUUGGCGUGGUGACGUCUGUGGCUAAUUUUCCAAGAGAAAUAAGGGACCAUGAGAGAAGAGUGGACAAUAAGGCCAACAAGGUCAUUGAUCCAGCCAUAGUCACUGAAGGCAUCAUGAUCACACUCAUGGCCUACAACCCAAGCCCCGGUGAGGACACAGCCCUGUACAGCAAUGUAAACUGCCCAACCCAAGUAGUUGAUUGGAUGGGGUAAAUACUGGUCUAUGUAAUUUGUGGCAACAUAGUAAAGGGCAUAGGCCAUGAGGAGAUCUUGAAUAAGAUAUCGGAAAGAAGUGAUGAGUGAUUUUUCGAAGCAAUGAGCAGGAAUGGCUUUCUUGAGGUCACCUAUGGUGAAAGGGGGUUUCUCAUGAGGAGCACGUCGAAGUGCUUCUGUUUCAGUUUUUUUGCCUUUAGGAGGAUCCGACAUUCGCCCACCUGCACCCAUUGCCCCUCACAAAAGAAGAUGCAAAUGUUGCUACUCUUCAAGUCACUCUUGGUUUUUGUUGUGUGUUUAGCUGAAGUUGCUCUGUAUUUCCUUAGAACGGGCUCGCUUGUAGAUUUAUAGGAAUGUAUGAUAUCAACAUGUGCGUAGAUAGAAGUGUGGUGAAGCUUAAAGCGCCCGCCAGCCCGCCAGGCAAGGAAAAGUUUGAAUAAACAACUUUGAAUUUGUUAGUGUGUUGGAAUAAAAGAGUAGGAAAUUGCACUAGUUCAGUCGUUUUCAAUGUGUGUUUUAGAGAAGUAUGCCCACAUGAACUGAUUGAGUCGCUAUGUUUUCUCUACGUUUCAAGGUCUCCCUGGGCGGCUGUACUUUCAUAAAUUAUACUCCCUCCGUCCCUCGUGCUAGUUUACGUGCACUGUUUGCACGCAUUUCGAAACUCUUAUAAAGUAUUGUAUUAUAAUUUUUUUUGAAUAAAAGUUUAAACAUCAAACUUUUAUUCAGAGAAAUAAAAAUUAAAAAAUAUAUUAUGAAACUAUACUUUAAAUGAGUGUGGAAAAACGUGCCAAAAAAUAACGUAAAGAAAAUGAGGGGACAGAGCGAGUACUCUUUUAACAUGCAUACUUUUUGUUUUUUUCCCUGAUUUUAUUCGUUUAGUUAUUACAAUAACAGAUACGGUAGCUGACGUUAGCCUAGAAAAUCAUACAUAUCAGAACUGCAAGCAUAUAAUUUGAACUGAUAACGUUUCACUAAUUUAACAUUCAGAACCAGCAGCUUUUUCAUUUUGAUCGAUAGUAGUUUAUGCAUUCGAGUUGAAGAUUGGAAAAUACAAACAAUAGAGAAAUGAUUUUUGAGAGCAACACAAACUUCUGCAUAACAAGUCACUUUCACAAGGAAACUUACAAUGACUCCCCACAAGCUAGACCAAGUGCUUUAAAAAGAGACGAGGCUGAAUUCAAAUCUCAUUUGCAGCUCCUCGUUGUUCACUGGACUGAAGUCGAGUUGUUAACAGUACGUUUUAACUUAUCAGAUACCUAAAUGAUAAGGGGUGAAAUAGAGAUAUACCGUUAAUCAGUAAAAUAUAGCACAGCUAGUUUUUCAAAAGGAACAAUGUUUUGGUUAAGAAACAGAAUCAGAAAAUCCUAUCGUAAAGGCUGAUGCAUUAAUAUGUUGUUAUGUUCAUGCAAAAUAUUACCUUGCUCCUUACAACUAAAAAAAGGAGCUGUCAGACAGACUUCUUGGAUCCAACUGCUGGCGACGAGCUGGCUGUUUAAAACUUCCCUGGCCAUUGAGAGCCACGGACUAGGACCCAUAAUAAAAUCCUUAUUUCCUCUGUUCUUUUCAGUUUAAAAGUUUUUCAUAUCAUAUAGGCAGUUUCGGGCAAUUUAUCAUAGAGGAAGACGCUGCUGUUUACAACGCAUUGAUAAAGAGCGCGGAGCACCCUGUAUGUUUGAGGAGUCUCUGAUUAGGCUUAAAAAGAUUAUUUUUUGUACCAAAGAACUCAUGGUUCAAUGAUAUUUUCCUCGAUCUACUUGCAGGAUAUUGAGGUACCAUUUGAAAGAAAUUAGUUCGUAUGUUAUUCGGCAAUCUCCACAAAGACACAAAAUAUUCAUUUUUACCCUUAAAAUUAAUUUAAACUUGCAUUUUUUUAAUUUGUCUACUAAUUUCAUUCACCAGAACACACUGAUUAGGCAAAAGAUAGCUGAAUCCGGACCAAUUUUUUUUCAUCAAGAUUUAUAUAAAGUUGUCAGUAGCCAAUAAAAAUGAGUGACCUGUGAUCAACUAAAUUAUCUAAAGCUGUCGAGCUGUGAUAUCUUGAUGAUUUCUGGGUCAUCGUAACAUAUCAAAUAAAACGCCUCUCCUCUCUUACGAGUACAAAUCUUGUUUGGUUAUGUUUUUCCCAGACCCAGACUGAGAACUCUGUACUUGAAGAUACCUUUUCUGGUAAAGAAAUGGCAAGUCCCACCGCCCUGAAUCCGUACUCAUCAGCAAAAGGGAACUGAUUCAACAUCGGGUGGUAUGCAGAUAUCAAGACUACUGCAGACAAUUAGCUAGCUUCAUUUACCUGAAUAACCUCAUUCGUUUCAAGUCUUAAACUUGAAACUGAUGACUAAAUAUAUGCCAUUUUUAUAUGAAAUUAUAUUCUUUUGCUCGGCCAUUAAAUUAAACCAAAAGGACAGUCAACAUUAAGAAGGGAGAAUUUAAGCACGACUGCGAAGUGCAUAUAAUCAGAAAGGAAAGUUACUCCUGAUCUUGAACAGAUGAAAGGUUAUAUAUAACUCUUUAUGUAAUUGUAACACAUUUGACCCUAACGAUCUAAAGUUGGCAGGAUCAAUGGAAGGCAAUGCGAAGACAAGUGAAAGAAUAAGAUUCUUGUAAUACCAAGCACUUAAAACUAAAUAUCCUUUUUGUACCAGUAGACUCCUUUGGUCUCGCCUUCAUCUUUCUCCACGUAAAUGCAUUCCUUCAUUUCUCUGUACAUUGCCUUGAGAAUCGGAGUUCCAUCAUACUGAUAAUAUUCACCCAAUACAGGCUUCAUGGCCUCUGUGGCUUCGAGUCCGUGGUAAUGUGGGAUCAUGGAGAAUAUGUGGUGACACACAUGAGCAUUGCACACAUUGUGGAAUACCUUGUUCAAAAUUCCAUAAUCUCUGUCCACAGUGCAGAGAGCUCCCCUCAACCAAUCCCAUUCGGUUGAAUCAUAGUAAGGCACAGAGGGAUGAGUGUGGUUGAGGAUGGUGAUCAAUGUGAACCAUCCGUUGACAACGAGCAACGGACCUCCAUAAACACAGAAAACCCAGACAAAUCCUUUGGCUAAUACUAGAUUGUACAGCCCAUAGAUAACAGCAAGAAUGGCAAGAUCAGACACAAUGAUCUGCUUGCGCUCACGUUCUGUGUAAAGAGGGCUAUGGGGAUCAUAGUGUGAAGUCCACCUCUCAUACUUGUGUCCCGAAACAUUGAACAUCAAGUAUAUUGGGAAGCCUAUGAGGAGUGUGAUAAGCCAGACGAGGACACGGCCUGGUGGAUUGUUGAGAAUUUUGUAGUAGUUCCGGAUGUUGGACUUGAAUCUAGGGACAUACACCUCAUCAUUUUCAAGGGAUUGAGUAUUGGCAUGGUGACGACGGUGACUAAUUUUCCAAGAGAAGUAUGGCACCAAGAGAGAAGAAUGGACAACAAGGCCAACGAGAUCAUUAAUCCAAUUAUAAUUGCUGAAUGCAUCAUGAUCACAUUCAUGACCCACAACCCAGGCCCCUGUUAACACACAGCCUUGAACAGCAAUAUAAGCUGCCCAACCCAAGUAGUUGAUUGGAUAAGGAAGAUAUUGGUCGAUGUAAUUAGUAGCGACAUAGUAGAGGGCAUAGGCCAUCAGAAGAUCCUGAAUGAGAUAUCGAAAAGAAGUGACUAAAGAUUUUUCAAAGCAAUGGGCAGGAAUGGCUUUCUUGAGGUCACCAAUGGUGAAAGGAGGUUUCUCAUGAGGAGCACGUCGAAGUGCCUCUGUUUCAGUUUUUUUGACACUAGAGGGAGCAGACAUACGCCCACCUGCACCCAUUUUUUCUUUCGAAGAAUAUGCAAAUGCUCUUCUUCCUCUCCUUCUGGUGUGUUU